ACGAACGCUGGCGGCGUGCUUAACCCAUGCAAGUCGAACGGAAAGGCCCUGCUUUUGUGGGGUGCUCGAGUGGCGAACGGGUGAGUAACACGUGAGUAACCUGCCCUUGACUUUGGGAUAACUUCAGGAAACUGGGGCUAAUACCGGAUAGGAGCUCCUGCUGCAUGGUGGGGGUUGGAAAGUUUCGGCGGUUGGGGAUGGACUCGCGGCUUAUCAGCUUGUUGGUGGGGUAGUGGCUUACCAAGGCUUUGACGGGUAGCCGGCCUGAGAGGGUGACCGGCCACAUUGGGACUGAGAUACGGCCCAGACUCCUACGGGAGGCAGCAGUGGGGAAUAUUGCACAAUGGGCGGAGCCUGAUGCAGCAACGCCGCGUGCGGGAUGACGGCCUUCGGGUUGUAAACCGCUUUCGCCUGUGACGAAGCGUGAGUGACGGUAAUGGGUAAAGAAGCACCGGCUAACUACGUG
This 466-nucleotide ribosomal RNA is filed under the name uncultured bacterium. RNAcentral describes it as "partial 16S ribosomal RNA". It matches the Rfam family "Bacterial small subunit ribosomal RNA", at positions 29 to 507 of the family's 1533-position model. The record is from RNAcentral.